UCCCAUUGAGGGAACUUCCACAUCUCUUUCCUCCUGUCCUAGUCCCAGAGCUUAUAAAGAUGAACCCACAGGGGCUGGCUGAGAGAGAGGAGGAAAGUUUGUUCCAGAAGGAACUAUCUGAGGGAU
Pteronotus mesoamericanus is the source of this 126-nucleotide small nucleolar RNA. RefSeq annotates it as small nucleolar RNA SNORD22. The record is from RefSeq and is a predicted model, not a curated record. Lineage: Eukaryota; Metazoa; Chordata; Mammalia; Chiroptera; Mormoopidae. The transcript has a single exon.